UACGGAGGGCGCGAGCGUUGUUCGGAAUCAUUGGGCGUAAAGCGCGCGUAGGCGGUCUUGCAAGUCUCGCUGUGAAAGCCCGGGGCUCAACCCCGGGAGGCCAGGGGAUACUGCUGGACUGGAGACAGGCAGAGGCUGGUGGAAUUCCGGGUGUAGCGGUGGAAUGCGUAGAGAUCCGGAGGAACACCGGAGGCGAAGGCGGCCAGCUGGGCCUGAUCUGACGCUGAGGUGCGAAAGCGUGGGGAGCGAACAGG
Molecule: ribosomal RNA, 254 nt
Filed under: uncultured bacterium
Lineage: Bacteria
Description: partial 16S ribosomal RNA
Rfam family: Bacterial small subunit ribosomal RNA
Source: RNAcentral